GACGAACGCUGGCGGCGUGCUUAACACAUGCAAGUCGAACGGAAAGGCUCCAGCUUGCUGGCGUACUCGAGUGGCGAACGGGUGAGUAACACGUGGGUAAUCUGCCCUGCACUCUGGGAUAAGCCUGGGAAACUGGGUCUAAUACUGGAUAUGACCUUUCUCCUUAUGGGGUUUGGUGGAAAGUUUUUCGGUGUAGGAUGAGCCCGCGGCCUAUCAGCUUGUUGGUGGGGUGAUGGCCUACCAAGGCGACGACGGGUAGCCGGCCUGAGAGGGUGAUCGGCCACAUUGGGACUGAGAUACGGCCCAGACUCCUACGGGAGGCAGCAGUGGGGAAUAUUGCACAAUGGGCGGAAGCCUGAUGCAGCGACGCCGCGUGAGGGAUGACGGCCUUCGGGUUGUAAACCUCUUUCAGCAGGGACGAAGCGUAAGUGACGGUACCUGCAGAAGAAGCACCGGCUAACUAUGU
This 466-nucleotide ribosomal RNA is filed under the name uncultured bacterium. RNAcentral's name for it is "partial 16S ribosomal RNA". It matches the Rfam family "Bacterial small subunit ribosomal RNA", at positions 28 to 506 of the family's 1533-position model. The record is from RNAcentral.